RNAcentral lists this transfer RNA (72 nucleotides) under Phytophthora infestans T30-4. It matches the Rfam family "tRNA". Rfam says of the family: Transfer RNA (tRNA) molecules are approximately 80 nucleotides in length. The record is from Rfam by way of RNAcentral. Lineage: Eukaryota; Oomycota; Peronosporomycetes; Peronosporales; Peronosporaceae.
GCGCUUUUAGCUCAGUGGUCGAGCGUUGCCUUUGGAAGCCACAGGUCGGUGGUUCGAACCCACCAGGGCACA